CCUACGGGCGGCAGCAGUGGGGAAUAUUGCACAAUGGGGGAAACCCUGAUGCAGCGACGCCGCGUGAGUGAAGAAGUAUUUCGGUACGUAAAGCUCUAGCAGCAGGGAAGAAAAUGACGGUACCUGACUAAGAAGCCCCGGCUAACUACGUGCCAGCAGCCGCGGUAAUACGUAGGGGGCAAGCGUUAUCCGGAUUUACUGGGUGUAAAGGGAGCGUAGACGGCAGCGCAAGUCUGGAGUGAAAUCCCAUGGCUUAACCAUGGAACUGCUUUGGAAACUGUGCAGCUAGAGUGCAGGAGAGGUAAGCGGAAUUCCUAGUGUAGCGGUGAAAUGCGUAGAUAUUAGGAGGAACACCAGUGGCGAAGGCGGCUUACUGGACUGUAACUGACGUUGAGGCUCGAAAGCGUGGGGAGCAAACAGGAUUAGAUACCCCAGUAGUC
RNAcentral lists this ribosomal RNA (440 nucleotides) under uncultured bacterium. Its description in RNAcentral is "partial 16S ribosomal RNA". It matches the Rfam family "Bacterial small subunit ribosomal RNA", at positions 338 to 795 of the family's 1533-position model. The record is from RNAcentral.